RNAcentral lists this ribosomal RNA (481 nucleotides) under uncultured bacterium. RNAcentral describes it as "bacterial SSU rRNA". It matches the Rfam family "Bacterial small subunit ribosomal RNA", at positions 30 to 507 of the family's 1533-position model. The record is from RNAcentral.
UGAACGCUAAUAGUAUGCUUUACACAUGCGAGUUGUACGAGAAAUCGUAGCGAACGGGUGAGGAAUGCGCAAUUAAAAAACUAACUACCUUUUAAUUCAAAAUAAACUAUACCUUUAAAAAUAAUGUUUUUUAUAGGAUAAAACUUUUUGAGUUUGUAGUAAUAUUGAAUAAAGAUUUUAAAAUUUAUAUUUAUUUAAAAAUCGUUAAAAGAUGAAUUUGUGCAAGAUUAGGUAGUUGGUGUAAAUAAAAGUGCACCAAGCCGUUGAUCUUUAGUUGGCCUAAGAGGGUGUUCAACCACAUUGGAACUGAGACAAGGUCCAAGCUAUUUUAGCCAGCAGUGAGGAAUAUUGGACAAUUAACGAAAGUUUGAUCCAGCAAUACUAUAUGAAUGAAUGACGGCUAAUUUUUGGUUGUAAAGUUCUUUCGUUAAAAAUGAUAAUGACAUUAUUUAAAGAAGUUUUAGUCCCGGCUAAUCUCGUG